UACGAAGGGGGCUAGCGUUGCUCGGAAUCACUGGGCGUAAAGCGCACGUAGGCGGCGCAGCAAGUCAGGGGUGAAAUCCCGGGGCUCAACCUCGGAACUGCCCUUGAAACUGCAGUGCUAGAAUCUUGGAGAGGCGAGUGGAAUUCCGAAUGUAGAGGUGAAAUUCGUAGAUAUUCGGAAGAACACCAGUGGCGAAGGCGACUCGCUGGACAAGUAUUGACGCUGAGGUGCGAAAGCGUGGGGAGCAAACAGG
This 253-nucleotide ribosomal RNA is filed under the name uncultured bacterium. Its description in RNAcentral is "partial 16S ribosomal RNA". It matches the Rfam family "Bacterial small subunit ribosomal RNA", at positions 524 to 776 of the family's 1533-position model. The record is from RNAcentral.